AUGUGUCGGGUCCGCGUCGGCGGCGACCCUGUCGAUAAUCGGCCCCGACUUGGCGGAGGUGACCGGGCCGGAGAAGAGCUGCCGGCUGCUCUGGUCGUGGCAUUGGCUGCUCUGGUGGCGCUCUCGGUCCUUGUGGUCGCAAACAAGGAGGAGGUCGAGGCCGCGCAUGGGGUCGCCGAAGACGAGGCAGAUGCGGUGGUAGACGGCGCAGACGGCGCGCGCGAGCAGGAGCACGGCCUUGUCGUAGGUCCAGCCCCAGAGCGAGGCGUCGCGGAGGCGGCGCGCGUCCUGGCGCCGCCAGCGGGCGCGCUGCAGGAGCGCGCGGCGGGCCUCGUCGGUGGGGAGCUUGCGGGCCGACUCCUCGAGGUCGGCGAGCGCGUCCAGCUCGGCGUAGAGCGCGGCCGUGGCAGACGCGAGGCGGUCGAGCUGCCGGAGGAGCGCCGCCUCGGACUGAGACGCGGGGGCGAAGAAGGGGUAGGCCGAGGCAGGGGAGCGGCCGGCGAGGAGGUCGGCGUAGACGUGGUCGAAGCCCUGGAGCGCCGGGGCGGCGCAGCGGCGGCCGAGGCGCGCGGCGACGGCGGCGACGCGGUUGAGCGCAUCGAGCUUCUCGGCGAGCGCGAGGGCGAGGAGGCGCGCGUCGUCGCCCGGGACGAGCGCGCGGACGGCGUGGGAGCCGAGGCAGAGCGGGCCGAGCAGGCGGGCGGCCUCGGCGGCGGAGAGCGAGCGGUGGAGGCUGGCGGCGCGCGACAUGGCGUUGGCCAGCUCGAAGGACAGGAUGCCGACCCUGCCGCUGGCGCCGUCCUUGUCCCCCUUCCUGCCGGCCUUCUUGUUGGAGAGGGUGCUUUGCUGGUGCGGCAGAGAAAGGAAGGAGCAAAUCCAAGCAACUCGACGGCGUGUGGAUUUGAAUUGGAAGCCCUCCCUCCCCUUGGCUGGCUCCGAUCUAUCUCGAAAAUCAAUGGCGGAGCAGAGAAGUCAACACGUCGAGACAGUACUGGCAGUACUGUUACCAGACAGCAGGAGCUAGCAGCGCUGCCACCAUUAACCAGAGAGAGAGAGACGAAAAAGGGAGGGAAGAUGGGGGAGGAAGAAACAAAAAAGAAAGAAAAUCUCUCGCGCUCUCCGGUCGGGGCGGGUGGUGUUGUGCUCGCCUACUUCCUUCCGCCCUUCAAGGAAAGAAAUGGCGGAGAAGAUGGGUGGAGGAGACAGGGGAUUCGGGAGUGA
RNAcentral lists this ribosomal RNA (1221 nucleotides) under Triticum aestivum (bread wheat). Its description in RNAcentral is "partial small subunit ribosomal RNA". The record is from RNAcentral. Lineage: Eukaryota; Viridiplantae; Streptophyta; Magnoliopsida; Poales; Poaceae.